RNAcentral lists this ribosomal RNA (322 nucleotides) under uncultured bacterium. Its description in RNAcentral is "bacterial SSU rRNA". It matches the Rfam family "Bacterial small subunit ribosomal RNA", at positions 30 to 353 of the family's 1533-position model. The record is from RNAcentral.
AUUGAACGCUGGCGGCAUGCCUUACACAUGCAAGUCGAACGGCAGCACGGGAGCAAUCCUGGUGGCGAGUGGCGAACGGGUGAGUAAUAUAUCGGAACGUGCCCAGUCGUGGGGAUAACGUAGCGAAAGCUACGCUAAUACCGCAUACGAUCUAUGGAUGAAAGCGGGGGAUCGCAAGACCUCGCGCGAUUGGAGCGGCCGAUAUCAGAUUAGGUAGUUGGUGAGGUAAAGGCUCACCAAGCCGACGAUCUGUAGCUGGUCUGAGAGGACGACCAGCCACAAUGGGACUGAGACACGGCCCAGACUCCUACGGGAGGCAGCA